GACGAACGCUGGCGGCGUGCUUAACACAUGCAAGUCGAACGGAAAGGCCCUGCUUUUGUGGGGUGCUCGAGUGGCGAACGGGUGAGUAACACGUGAGUAACCUGCCCUUGACUUUGGGAUAACUUCAGGAAACUGGGGCUAAUACCGGAUAGGAGCUCCUGCUGCAUGGUGGGGGUUGGAAAGUUUCGGCGGUUGGGGAUGGACUCGCGGCUUAUCAGCUUGUUGGUGGGGUAGUGGCUUACCAAGGCUUUGACGGGUAGCCGGCCUGGGAGGGUGACCGGCCACCUUGGGACUGAGAUACGGCGCAGACUCCUACGGGAGGCAGCAGUGGGGAAUAUUGCCCAAUGGGCGGAAGCCUGAUGCAGCAACGCCGCGUGCGUGAUGACGGCCUUCGGGUUGUAAACCGCUUUCGCCUGUGACGAAGCGUGAGUGACGGUAAUGGGUAAAGAAGCACCGGCUAACUACGUG
This 468-nucleotide ribosomal RNA is filed under the name uncultured bacterium. Its description in RNAcentral is "partial 16S ribosomal RNA". It matches the Rfam family "Bacterial small subunit ribosomal RNA", at positions 28 to 507 of the family's 1533-position model. The record is from RNAcentral.